AGAUGUGGAGGGAAGCUCAGUGCUGAGGCUACAACCUGAGUGCAUUUGUCACUCUCAUACAUUCCUCAGGGAAGGUCUGAGAUUAGAGCCAUCUAUUGUCUUAACAAGGCAUUGCUUGGUUUGAGCAAAUGAGUUACCAUCAAACCUUGUUCUGUUGUCGCUAGACUGCACAAGUAAUAGAAGUGGUUUUCCUCUAUGGAUGCUGAGGCAACUGAUUUGGAAAGUGACUCAUGACUAGCAAAUUCAAGUUCAAUUGCUGAGAGGAAGUCAUUACUUCCUAACCCAAUUCAGACCACUCUCCGGAAUUCCG
This 310-nucleotide RNase P RNA is filed under the name Pelobates cultripes (western spadefoot toad). RNAcentral's name for it is "partial RNase P RNA". It matches the Rfam family "Nuclear RNase P". From Rfam's summary of the family: Ribonuclease P (RNase P) is a ubiquitous endoribonuclease, found in archaea, bacteria and eukarya as well as chloroplasts and mitochondria. Its best characterised activity is the generation of mature 5'-ends of tRNAs by cleaving the 5'-leader elements of precursor-tRNAs. The record is from RNAcentral. Lineage: Eukaryota; Metazoa; Chordata; Amphibia; Anura; Pelobatidae.